CCCCACGAGCUCAGAACCUCUCCUCCGCCAAGUUGCUCCAUCCCCACCUCAUCACCAAGAACACCGGCGUCGUCGUCGUCCUGGGCACCGGGCAGAUCCCGGCGAAGACCAGGCUCAACCUGUGCCGGAAGCUCUUGUCGGCCGUGGCGGAGCAGUGCUCCAUGCCAUCUCGCUUCUCCACCGCUAUCCCCGCGUCGUCCUGCCUCUCCACCAGUGCCCCCACACAACCCUGCUCCCCGCCGUCGCCACGUACUCCCUGCUGCUGCCGCCGGCGAUUUCCCACGGUGAGGCAACCUCUCUCUGUCUCUCUGUCUCUCUCUCUCACCUGACAACCGAAUUCAUCUCCCAGAUCGGAACAAAUCAGCACCGGUGGUUUCUUUCUUCUUCAGAAGGCCAGACUUUUGCCGUUCAUAUUCAAGAGACCAUAUCCAUUUGACGUGCGAUGACACUCUGGUGAGUUUCUCUGCCUCGAGUCCUGACGGCCUCUCUCUCUCUCUCUUUGAAAAAUCCUUCAACAUUAUGUUUCUUCGUCUGCGAUUUAGUGCGCUGUAUGUGGUUGUUCUUUGCUUAGAAAACAAUUUCGUCAGAUCUGUUGGUAUAUGCUGACUCGAAGUAAUUUCAGUCUUAGAUGAAUUUUGUUCUUAAGAUGUGGUGUGUCUAGUUUUUUUCUUUAAGUAUACGAUCGCUGUUGUGAUUUAGUAGCUUGGAGGCUGGCACUUCAAUUCAAAACUGGCGUGAAUACCUAAAAUGAUAAAAAAGAGUAGGAAAUGGUGGCUAGCAAACAUAUAUAUUUUUAUAAAAUUUGUGAGCUGAAUAUCCAGGCAAUCACUUCGGUGAGUUUCUCCACCCCAUCUACAGGCCCUCCUUGUUUGUGGAUAUCAUGAAGGUAUACAACGUCUUUUCACACUUUGGAUUUUUUUUCUCAAACACCGAUCGUGGAUGUUGAUUGCUGAAGUAGAUUACUUUAACAGUAUUGCAAGUUGUUUUUACCUACAUGUGACAUCUGAACUAGCAGUUUUGUCUAGUACAAUCUCUCUUUUAAAGCUUUGAAUGAUGCUUCGAAUCCUGAAAGGUGGGUUAUUAUGCUUUGUUUGGCUAUUAAGCCAUACCUACAGGACCAAAUAUAUACACAUGGUAUAGUUAUCCCUGCAGGAUCAUGCUUGUGUGGCAAUAAUACAUUCUAAGGCAAACAAAAACAUGAGAUUAUAUUGAUAUUAUAUUAUAUAUGUACAUCUAUUGUCGCUGUACUGGUAUUCCUAUAUCUUUCCAUCUGUACAAAAAACAAAAGCACCAAAUAUAUGCUUACCUCCGCUAUGUCAGGGGCACUUAGACAAGAAAGGAUAUGGUUUCAGAUAUGAGUUAGAAAAAAUUUCAAGCCAUCAUCAAGCAAUGGAGGAAGCUAUAGAUCCUGGAGCAUCGAACAUAUAAAUCACGCUAGGCAACCCGCCAUUUUGGAGGCAUUGUCAUGACGCAGCAGUAUGGGUCGCUCGAUUCUUUUAUGACUGUACUUUUUUGGUUGCUGGCAGUCGGUACACCGUUAAUUGUUUCUCCACCUGAGUUGUACACUACCUUUUUAUUUUUAUUUAGAUUCUUUCGGAUUUCCAGUUUAUUAGCUGCAAAAGGGGUCCAGUAAUCUACAUUCUACAUAAAGCUUAGGCUUUAAUUGAUUGUUAUGUCAAGUGAGAUCAUGCAUGAUAAGGAUUAUUGCUGUUGGAGGAAACAUUGUGUACAAUAUGUUUGGUGGUAGUUAAAAGGAGGGGAACAUAUUAUUGUGAUUUUAUAGUUUCUUGGAAGUAGUUUCAUCUAUUUGUUUACAACAUUGUUGGUUUGCUGCCUUUUAGUAUUGGAGUGUGUAAUCACACACGUUCUUAUACCUUCUAGGUUAUUUCUCGUUUUAACUCCUCUCCUGUGGAUUCUCCUAAGUUGCAGGCGAAGAUGAACUCCUGAUGGUCUACGCCGUCCUGCUUUGCCAUGGAGGUAAAUGAGCCGAAGUGUACCAGGGAAUAUGCAUAUACACCACACCUAAUCCACCACUAUUUUCUUGUGGCGACUGGCGAGGAGAAGAUACAAAUGCCUUCCAAUCCACCACUUAUCCCCACUACUAUUUCUUUGCCAGUGACCUGGGUUUCCAUGUACUUGAUAGAUACUUUCCUUAUGAUAUGUGUUUUAUGUAUGUAUAUAUGUUUCUGGCCAUAAAUAUAUAGCUAGCACCAACUUUUACUGCUUUCCGUGGAACUUUGACGAGUACCCUUUAAUCCACUAAUUUUGGACCUGUUAGUUUGGGCACUGAAAACUUUGAAAAGUACCUUUGAAUUAGAGGACUAAACUAACAGGUCCGAAAUCCUGAAGCCCAAAUGAAUCAGUUUUCAGUCUAAAUGAAUGGUGUUAUAGGAGAAGCUAAUCUGAAUGUAUGCACGGGAUUACUUCACUUGACGUACAUUAUCUGGAUCCUUGGCCACUUUUAUGCAAAAGCCUUCGAUCUCUUACUCCACUAUAGAGUUUGAUUGAGAAGUUUGGGCCUUUGGUCUUCUCUGUUACCUGAAACUUUAAAUCUGACUACAAAGCCUCAAAAGUCAAAACUCAAUUCAUGUAAAAAUCGGCAAGAGUUUAGGGGAUUUGGCUCCACAUUUUUUGAUCUUGUUAGUACUUUCACCUUGCUAAUUCAAAAUGUGUGAAUGUAGAGUUGGAGAAACUACCACAAGUCAAGGUGAGACCCAUGCCUGAAAAGGGGAAAUCACUCUGGAGUCGGCUCAAGAACAAGGCUAGACCCCAAUCUUGUUUACUCACUGUAUUCACUAUCUAUAAAGUUGUAUGCUUAUUUUCUUGGCAAAUAAGUGUUGGAAUAUUGGCUUCUCAUACCUAUGUACAGUAACUUAAGUAUAUCCCCAGGAGACUAUAUGAUCAGCAAUCAUACAAAGUAAUCAAAAUGAUGUGUUUUCUUUCAAAUAGAUAGACAAAAGGUGGACCGAGGGCUUCUGGCUAUUGCUGGAAGUUGAUUGGAGGUCUUCACGUGCAGAAAUGCUAGUUUUGUAGAUUAGGCAAGUGUAUUCUUCAUUUUCUGCUGCUGUGUGCACAGAGCACAUGUGAAUUCCGCCUGCAUUCAAUUUCAUAAAUUAAUUGAGCAUUCUAAUAAUUGAGACUUGUUUAACUUUUGUAGGAAGCAAACAUAAGGACUCGACUCACAAUGAACCAUGAAGCCAGCGAUCUGCAUCAAAUGAAUGUUUUAGUUUUCAUCUUGCAACUGAUGUCUCAUAGUUGCAGUCUUUUCGCUGUCCUUUGUUGAACCUGAUGUAUGGUGUCUUGGUGGUUAUGUUUGGAACAUACUGAAGUAUAUGUAUGUGACCAUUAGUUAAUGGAAUAAAAAAUGUUUGGUGCACCUGAUGUAUGAUGUCUUGGUGAUUAUGCUUAGAACACAUAAAGUAUAUGUAUGUGACAAUUAGUACCAUUUGUUUAAUUAAAGCUGUGAUUGGAUAAACAAAAUGUUAAUGAACUGUUG
RNAcentral lists this long non-coding RNA (3496 nucleotides) under Triticum aestivum (bread wheat). RNAcentral describes it as "long non-coding RNA (TAES_LNC026107)". The record is from RNAcentral. Lineage: Eukaryota; Viridiplantae; Streptophyta; Magnoliopsida; Poales; Poaceae.